UAGACUGCCUUCCAUCCUGACAGCUGGUGAAUCUGAACUGCCUACUGGUGAAUAAAGAUGGUUCCAUCUCCUGCUUCAGGAUUGACUCAGUGUUGUAUUGCAAUCUUGCCAUAACACUUUCGAGGCUCCAGUGAGAUGCUGGUGCACUGGAGUCCUGAAUCCUCUGAAGCACAGAGAGGUGCCCUCCCUCUCUAGUUGUGAGAGCUCGCUGCUUUGGGAGAGUCUGGACCUCCUGUGGUGACCAAUUCGAGUCUGCCCAUAGAAGAAGCUCUGAUGCGACUCACAUCUGUAAAUCUAGAAGCUUUGAAGGAGGAUAUGGAACUGCGUGUGUUUGAAGAAGCACCCACCCCCUGAAGACUUUAAAACCUGUUCUUCCCGAACCAGACUUUUAUCAUGGACCCUUUGACUGACCUGAUUUCUAAAAGGGUACUCCAAACUGCUUUUCCCACCCCACAUCACCCGCUCUCAGUUUGAGGCAGCAACAACGGUCAUCACCUUUUCCCCUACAGCAGUAAGGAGUCACUGAAAUUAGAAGGGGAAAUGAAGCAAGAAUUACAGGUCUCUCCAACAGGUUUGACUUAAAGCUCAUAAAUUCCUUGGAGAGAACCAGCCCCAAGAGACUAUUGAUUUCCAACACCAUCCAAUCAAGAGACCAAGUCUAUGUCAAACGGUUCCAGAAAAAAUGACUGACACCCAGCUGGAGGGGACCUUACUCAUAGUGUGGAUUCAUCACAUUCAAGUCAAGACAACAAAAGUGACUCUUACAGAAAGAAUGGACAGCUCUCAGAGACCACAACCACCCUCUAAAGAUAAGACUGAAAAAAUUUAAUCAUGUUUUUUUCUCUUGUUUGGACAAUAUUAUAAGGCCCAAACUGCUAAAACAACCUGUUUCAUCAGUCAAGUAAAUAUAUAUGCAUGGUAAUUACAACACCUUACCUAUUUCAAAAGAUAAAUCAAGGGUUUGAUUGUUUCUAGAAAAAGGGGGAAUGUUAUGGGUCAGGCUAUGUGGGCAAUGACCAAACAGGCUCCAUUUUAUCCUAAAACUCCAUGUCAUGUAAGAACCCGUGAGAAAACUCCACAUCUGUACCUACCAACAGUUGCUUAGCAUAGCUUGUUUGGCAACACAAAUGGCAGUUCUUAUAUAAUGUAAAAUUGUUUUCUCUUUGGUUCCCAUUUUUCUUGGGCAAUGUACCCUAACUGCAUAGAAUGUUAAUAUUUGUCCCUCUAGAUCUCAUGAUUUUUUGUUUAUGUUUUGGAAUCAUAGCAACAGCCACUUACAAUUAAUGUACUGACAUGGUUUACUUGUGGUAUAAAAGAUGUGCUCUAACCUCUGGAGGGGGUCAGAGAAUACAGAAUUGCAGUCUGCCUUCCAUCCUGCCAGCUGGUGAAUCUGGACCACCUACUGGUGAAUAAAGAUGGUUCCAUUUUCU
Sciurus carolinensis (gray squirrel) is the source of this 1430-nucleotide long non-coding RNA. RefSeq lists it as uncharacterized. The record is from RefSeq and is a predicted model, not a curated record. Lineage: Eukaryota; Metazoa; Chordata; Mammalia; Rodentia; Sciuridae. The transcript has 3 exons.